Molecule: ribosomal RNA, 249 nt
Filed under: uncultured bacterium
Lineage: Bacteria
Description: partial 16S ribosomal RNA
Rfam family: Bacterial small subunit ribosomal RNA
Source: RNAcentral
AAGGCAGCUACACGGCGACGUGAUGCUAAUCCCCAAAACCUCUCUCAGUUCGGAUUGGAGUCUGCAACCCGACUCCAUGAAGCUGGAUUCGCUAGUAAUCGCGCAUCAGCCACGGCGCGGUGAAUACGUUCCCGGGCCUUGUACACACCGCCCGUCAAGCCAUGAAAGCCGGGGGUACCUGAAGUCCGUAACCGUAAGGAGCGGCCUAGGGUAAAACUGGUAAUUGGGGCUAAGUCGUAACAAGGUACC